GGUAAGUGCUCUUUAGAAUUUAAAAUAAGUUACAUGUACUGGUUUUCCUUUAUUUUGUAGUUUUGUUCUCAAAGAAUUCCAGAUAUGAUUUUUUUCCAGACAAAAAUACCUGCUACAUGCUUCCUUCUGUAUGAAUACAUGAGACCUACCUUCAUUCAUGUUUCCUCUAUGAAGCUUUCCCUGCACUCCAAACACAGAGCUGAGACUUCCACCUAAUGUAGAAAGCUAGCACGAGCCGGCGCUGACAGAUGGAAGACUUGAGAUGUUACAAGAUUAUAUAUGGAAACACAAAAGGAGUGGAGUUGCUGGGUCAUAUGGCAAUUCAUUUGAGGAACUGAGAAGCUUAUUCCAUGGAGGCUGAACUGUUUUAUAUUCCCACCAGCAACGUUAGAGACGGGGUUUCACCGCGUUAGCCAGAAUGGUUUCUAUCUCCUGACCUCAUGAUCCGCCCACCUCGGCCUCCCAAAGUGCUGGGAUUACAGGCGUGAGCCACUGUGCCUGGCCAAACGCUGGUAGGUUUUGAGUGAGACCACAUUACAUUUAAAUAUAUUUACAAUGUUUUCUGCUCUAUUCUUUAGUAGACUUUUCCUCACGUGGUCCUACGCAUUUCUUUCUAAGUUUAUUUUCAUAUAGCCUAUCCCUGUCUACAAUUUAAAUUGGGAUCUUCUAUAUUCUAGUUAUUAUUUGUAAAUAAGAAAACUACUGACUUUUUUCUAGUAUAUUUUCUCAGAAUAGGAUUUUCUAUUUUUCUAUAAAAUGACCAAUGUUAUGAAGCUUCGUAAGUUUUGUCAAAGUGAUACACACAUACAGCAAAAAAUCAAAUAGUACAGAAGUAUAAAAGCAACAACCUCUGCCUUGCCCCUUCUCCACCUUCAGGUCCCCUUCCCAGAUACAAUAAUUUUUAGCUUUUUAUUUUUAAUUAUUCUGGUUGUUACCUACAUAACUCUGGGCAAUAUGGAAAAGUUAUUGAUUUUGUAUAUUAAUUUCAUAAUCAGUUACCUUGAUGAAUUCUCUUGUUUCUAGUAGUUUUUCUUUAGGGUUUUAAAGGGAUACAAUCAUACCAUUUGCAGUUAGUAACCAUUUUAUCUCCUCUUAUUUCCAACUUCGUACUGUUUUCUCUUGUCUAAUUUGUUUUUAAUUGGUGGGUACUUCUAGAACAAGGUUAAAUAAAAGUGGUGUUGGUGGGCGUCCUUAUUUCUGAUAUUAAUGGGAAUGAGUAUAAUGUAUAAAUAUAUAACCAUGAUUUUGGUUUUUUUCCAAGUUUUUAUCAGUAAUGAUUGCUGAGUUUUAUCAAAAUUUUUUUGGCAUCCAUUGAGAGGAUUAUAUAUUACUCUUUGACACAUUAAUGUGGUUAAUUAAAGUAACCAACUUAUUAACCU
Molecule: long non-coding RNA, 1379 nt
Filed under: Homo sapiens (human)
Lineage: Eukaryota; Metazoa; Chordata; Mammalia; Primates; Hominidae
Description: cholesterol induced regulator of metabolism RNA
Source: RNAcentral